CCACCCACUGGAAAAGAAAAUUGGUUGAAAAAACCUUGGUUUGGGGUUGUUAAAAGCCAAAUCCACCCCCUGAGGAGCUUCCAACCCCUCCCUACUGGUUUUUACUGGGAAGGGGGGGGGAGAAACCUCUUGGCAAGAUUUCCCUAAAAAUUCAACCAAAACACCAAGGACUCACCCAGCGCCACGGCUCCACCUCCUCCCCCACUGAUUAAUUUCUGGGAUAAAUUCAUUAAUUGCCAUUAAAUCAACCUUUUCCCAGGAUCCAACCUCCCCUGGAGCUCAUCCCAGGUUCCAACAGAGGAAAGAGCCCCAAAAAAUCUCCAGGAUUGGGCAAAGAGCAGAAAGGUCCCACUGGAGGUGAGUGUUUCCCAGCCAUGGAUUCCCUUGGAGCUCCCAUCCUGCCCUGAGCAUUCCCAGGAAUCUGGAGCCAAGCACUGGAAUUCCUUCCAGCCCAAAGAUUCCUUGGAAGUUCCUUGGGAUUUGAAGCCAAGGAUUCCCCCAAACUCCUCUCCAAGCUCUCAACCCCCGCAGGGAUUGGACUUUUUGGGGAUAAAUCCUGAGGGAAAAAUUAAAAUAUUCCAGGUU
Molecule: long non-coding RNA, 585 nt
Organism: Calypte anna (Anna's hummingbird)
Lineage: Eukaryota; Metazoa; Chordata; Aves; Apodiformes; Trochilidae
Exons: 4
Source: RefSeq, a predicted model, not a curated record